Molecule: ribosomal RNA, 118 nt
Filed under: Anolis carolinensis (green anole)
Lineage: Eukaryota; Metazoa; Chordata; Lepidosauria; Squamata; Anolidae
Source: RNAcentral
CCCUUUGGCCUAAGAAACCUGAAGACACCAGAUCUUGUCUGAUUUUGGAAGUUAAGAAGGAUCAGGGCUGGUUAGGACUUGGAUGGAGACUACCAAUGAACACCAGAUGCUAUAGGGA